AGGGCACCACCAGGAGUGGAGCCUGCGGCUUAAUUUGACUCAACACGGGAAAACUCACCCGGCCCGGACACUGGAAGGAUUGACAGAUUGAGAGCUCUUUCUUGAUUCAGUGGGUGGUGGUGCAUGGCCGUUCUUAGUUGGUGGAGUGAUUUGUCUGGUUAACUCCGAUAACGAACGAGACUCUAGCCUACUAAAUAGAUCGUCGGCUUACAAACGCCGGCGAGACUUCUUAGAGGGACAGGCGGUGAUUCAACCGCACGAAACAGAGCAAUAACAGGUCUGUGAUGCCCUUAGAUGUCCGGGGCCGCACGCGCGCUACACUGAAGUGAUCAGCGUGCUUUUUCAACCUACUCUGUCAAGAGUGGGGAACCCAAUGAACCUUCUUCGUGAUUGGGAUAGGGGAUUGUAAUUAUUCCCCUUGAACGAGGAAUUCCCAGUAAGCGCGAGUCAUAAGCUCGCGUUGAUUACGUCCCUGCCCUUUGUACACACCGCCCGUCGCUACUACCGAUUGAAUGUUUU
RNAcentral lists this ribosomal RNA (519 nucleotides) under uncultured eukaryote. Its description in RNAcentral is "SSU rRNA". It matches the Rfam family "Eukaryotic small subunit ribosomal RNA", at positions 1161 to 1699 of the family's 1831-position model. The record is from RNAcentral.